UCGGCUGAUUGGUGAUAUGCCUAAUUCA
RNAcentral lists this non-coding RNA (28 nucleotides) under Homo sapiens (human). Lineage: Eukaryota; Metazoa; Chordata; Mammalia; Primates; Hominidae. The record is from RNAcentral.